GGGCCCGCACAAGCGGUGGAGCAUGUGGCUUAAUUCGAGGCAACGCGAAGAACCUUACCUGGUCUUGACAUGCCCGUCAUAGUUUUCCGAAAGGAAUUCGUCAGUUCGGCUGGACGGUGCACAGGUGCUGCAUGGCUGUCGUCAGCUCGUGUCGUGAGAUGUUCGUUAAGUCCGGCAACGAGCGCAACCCUCGUUCCUAGUUGCCAGCGGGUAAUGCCGGGGACUCUAGGAAGACAAACCUCGUGUAGAGGUGGGAAGGUGGGGACGACGUCAAGUCAGUAUGGCCCUUACGACCAGGGCUGCACACGUGCUACAAUGCCCAGCACAAUGGGAUGCAACGCCGCGAGGUUGAGCA
RNAcentral lists this ribosomal RNA (355 nucleotides) under uncultured bacterium. RNAcentral's name for it is "bacterial SSU rRNA". It matches the Rfam family "Bacterial small subunit ribosomal RNA", at positions 917 to 1269 of the family's 1533-position model. The record is from RNAcentral.